AGCAGCCGCGGUAAUUCCAGCUCCAAUAGCGUAUAUUAAAGUUGUUGCAGUUAAAAAGCUCGUAGUUGAAUUUCGGGAUUGACGUGAUGGUCGUGCCUUAAGGGGUAUGAACUGUUGCUGUUGAUUUCUCACCUUCUGGAGAAACUUGAUGUCCUUAAUUGGGUGUCUUGCGGAUCCAGGACCUUUACCUUGAAAAAAUUAGAGUGUUUAAAGCAGGCAUUUUGCUCGAAUACAUUAGCAUGGAAUAAUAGAAUAGGACGGCAUGGUUCUAUUUUGUUGGUUUCUAGGAUCACCGUAAUGAUUAAUAGGGAUAGUUGGGGGCAUUAGUAUUCAAUUGUCAGAGGUGAAAUUCUUGGAUUUAUUGAAGACUAACUACUGCGAAAGCAUUUGCCAAGGAUGUUUUCAUUAAUCAAGAACGAAAGUUAGGGGAUCGAAGACGAUCAGAUACCGUCGUAGUCUUAACCAUAAACUAUGCCGACUAGGAAUCAGACGAUGUUAAUUUUUAAUGACUCGUUU
RNAcentral lists this ribosomal RNA (516 nucleotides) under uncultured Entrophospora. RNAcentral's name for it is "SSU rRNA". It matches the Rfam family "Eukaryotic small subunit ribosomal RNA", at positions 569 to 1081 of the family's 1831-position model. Lineage: Eukaryota; Fungi; Glomeromycota; Glomeromycetes; Entrophosporales; Entrophosporaceae. The record is from RNAcentral.